UUGCUUUUGAAAUCAGAAAUUCUUAGAACCUAUUAAGUAACUUGGAAAAUUAAUAAUUAUUGAUAAUUAUAUUUUUUACUAUAAUCUGUGCUAUAAUAUUGUGAAUUGCACCAGUGCACUACAGAACUGAUAACAUUUGUCUUAAACAUAUGACUGAUAGUGACAAAUAUUAAAACUACGACCCCUCUCUGACAUAUUGUGUAUUAACACGGGCACGGUCGUAUAAUAAUAAUAAUAAAAAUAGCACGGAUCGGAUAGGGUCAAUGAUUAUAAUGUAAAUUUUAUAAAUAUUUAAUUUCACCUUUUAAAUAUUUUUUUCAUUUCUUACUGUAAAAUAUUUCAUUAUUUAUGUUUCAUGAUUACGUUAAUUUAUUAUUAUCAUAAAAUAUUCUUAUGUACCGUAGACAGUGUCGAACUUAAGGGCUAUAAGUAUAUUUAUUUCAAACCUUCUAUCCUGGGGUCAUCGAAAAUUUUCUGAGAAGUACCUACGUGCAUAUGAAUAGUUUGUGAAGAAAAUUGUUCACUAACAGCAUCUCAUACCAUAUAUAUAUUCGUAUACAUAUUUAUAAUUAAUAACCUAGUAAUUAUUUAGGAAUAUAUGAAACGCUGAAAAUGAUAUGGAUUGGAGUCCCUCCUGUCCUUUAUUGCGACCUUAAACUCUAAUUAGUGUUCAGUCACUUGCUCCACUCUGACAGCUGCAUUCUC
This is a long non-coding RNA of Sipha flava (yellow sugarcane aphid), 705 nucleotides long. RefSeq lists it as uncharacterized. The record is from RefSeq and is a predicted model, not a curated record. NCBI's taxonomy places the organism in Eukaryota, Metazoa, Arthropoda, Insecta, Hemiptera, Aphididae. The transcript has 3 exons.